ACAUGCAAGUCGAACGAGAAAGUGGAGCAAUCCAUGAGUAAAGUGGCGACCGGGUGAGUAACACGUGACUAACCUACCCUCGAGUGGGGAAUAACUCCGGGAAACCGGGGCUAAUACCGCAUAACAUCGCAAGAUCAAAGCAGCAAUGCGCUUGAGGAGGGGGUCGCGGCUGAUUAGCUAGUUGGCGGGGUAACGGCCCACCAAGGCGAAGAUCGGUAUCCGGCCUGAGAGGGCGCACGGACACACUGGAACUGAAACACGGUCCAGACUCCUACGGGAGGCAGCAGUGGGGAAUUUUGCGCAAUGGGGGAAACCCUGACGCAGCAACGCCGCGUGGAGGAUGAAGCCCUUUGGGGCGUAAACUCCUUUCGACUCGGACGAUAAUGACGGUACGAGUGGAAGAAGCACCGGCUAACUCUGUGCCAGCAGCCGCGGUAAUACAGAGGGUGCGGGCGUNGUUCGGAAUUAUUGGGCGUAAAGGGCGCGUAGGCGGUGCGGUAAGUCACCUGUGAAAUCUCCUGGCUUAACUGGGAGCCUG
This 538-nucleotide ribosomal RNA is filed under the name uncultured bacterium. RNAcentral's name for it is "bacterial SSU rRNA". It matches the Rfam family "Bacterial small subunit ribosomal RNA", at positions 53 to 623 of the family's 1533-position model. The record is from RNAcentral.